This 253-nucleotide ribosomal RNA is filed under the name uncultured bacterium. Its description in RNAcentral is "partial 16S ribosomal RNA". It matches the Rfam family "Bacterial small subunit ribosomal RNA", at positions 524 to 776 of the family's 1533-position model. The record is from RNAcentral.
UACGUAGGGGGCAAGCGUUGUCCGGAAUCAUUGGGCGUAAAGAGCGUGUAGGCGGCCAGAUAAGUCCGCUGUGAAAUCUCGAGGCUCAACUUCGAGCUGUCGGUGGAAACUGUCUGGCUAGAGUCCGGAAGAGGAGAAUGGAAUUCCUGGUGUAGCGGUGAAAUGCGCAGAUAUCAGGAAGAACACCCGUGGCGAAGGCGGUACUCUGGAACGGUACUGACGCUAAGACGCGAAAGCGUGGGGAGCAAACAGG